Molecule: ribosomal RNA, 504 nt
Filed under: uncultured bacterium
Lineage: Bacteria
Description: partial 16S ribosomal RNA
Rfam family: Bacterial small subunit ribosomal RNA
Source: RNAcentral
AUUGAACGCUUGCGGCAGGCCUAACACAUGCAAGUCGAACGGUAGCACAGAGAGCUUGCUCUCGGGUGACGAGUGGCGGACGGGUGAGUAACGUCUGGGAAACUGCCCGAUGGAGGGGGAUAACUACUGGAAACGGUAGCUAAUACCGCAUAACGUCGCAAGACCAAAGUGGGGGACCUUCGGGCCUCACACCAUCGGAUGUGCCCAGAUGGGAUUAGCUAGUAGGUGGGGUAAUGGCUCACCUAGGCGACGAUCGCUAGUUGGUCUGAGAGGAUGGCCAGCCACACUGGAACUGAGACACGGUCCGGGCGCCUACGGGGGGCAGCAGUGGAGAAUAUUGCACAAUGGGCGCAAGCCUGAUGCAGCCAUGCCGCGUGUAUGAAGAAGGCCUUCGGGUUGUAAAGUACUUUCAGCGGGGAGGAAGGCGGUGAAGUUAAUAGCUUCACCGAUUGACGUUACCCGCAGAAGAAGCACCGGCUAACUCCGUGCCAGCCGCCGCCGUAA